RNAcentral lists this ribosomal RNA (460 nucleotides) under uncultured bacterium. RNAcentral describes it as "partial 16S ribosomal RNA". It matches the Rfam family "Bacterial small subunit ribosomal RNA", at positions 338 to 795 of the family's 1533-position model. The record is from RNAcentral.
CCUACGGGAGGCUGCAGUGAGGAAUAUUGGUCAAUGGACGAGAGUCUGAACCAGCCAAGUAGCGUGAAGGAUGACUGCCCUAUGGGUUGUAAACUUCUUUUAUAAAGGAAUAAAACGAGGCACGUGUGCCUUUUUGCAUGUACUUUAUGAAUAAGGAUCGGCUAACUCCGUGCCAGCAGCCGCGGUAAUACGGAGGAUCCGAGCGUUAUCCGGAUUUCUUGGGUUUAAAGGGAGCGUAGAUGGGUUGUUAAGUCAGUUGUGAAAGUUUGCGGCUCAACCGUAAAAUUGCAAUUGAUACUGGCAGUCUUGAGUACAGUUGAGGUAGGCGGAAUUCGUGGUGUAGCGGUGAAAUGCUUAGAUAUCACGAAGAACUCCGAUUGCGAAGGCAGCUUACUAAACUGCCACUGACAUUGAUGCUCGAAAGUGUGGGUAUCAAACAGGAUUAGAUACCCCUGUAGUC